Molecule: long non-coding RNA, 928 nt
Organism: Onychostoma macrolepis
Lineage: Eukaryota; Metazoa; Chordata; Actinopteri; Cypriniformes; Cyprinidae
Exons: 5
Source: RefSeq, a predicted model, not a curated record
CUCACCACGAAAACCUUGUGAACAGGUGCAUUCAAAUCCGUCCACUACUCGUCUACAAGUGCCAUUGUUGAGGCAGGGUUCAUCAAUACAGUCUGUGAUGCGAUGACUGCAGUCCUCUCCUCCGAAACCAGGUGGAUGAACUUCUGGUUGUUUUACAUGGAUUCUCUUCAUGGUUGUGACAUUGAUGUUAAAAGAUUGGAUCUAGAUUAACAUUGGCAAGAAUUGGCCCAGACUUCUGCAGUGUCAAGUGAAGGAAGCUCCUCUCAUAAGAUUGCGAACUGGGAGUCUGAUGACACUGAGCGAGAGUGAUGGAGUGAGCAGAAUGCUGAAGAUGAAGCCAGAAUUAAGCCAAGUUCCUGGCUUUUCCCAAGACCUUUAAGGAUACGAUUGACCUCGGAAUCAGCUGUAAAGGAGGAUGAAACCUCUAUAUUUAGACUAUAAAGGUUAGACUAUAUUUCAGAAUAAUAUUAUCUAUAUUCAUUUAUUAUCUUUAUUCUGUGUUCAUGAAGUUGUCAUAUCUGUUAUUUAGAAUGGGACAGUGAUAUUGCAUCAAUUUGUCUCCUACUUCAUUUGAUUCCACCAUCACCACAAGGCUGCAAGGGAUGUGGAAAAACGUCCUCCUAUGAAGCUGAAAAACAUCUUCAAAAAGGCACUAACCAGAAGAACACCUUGAUUGCAUAGAAGAGACCACACAGCCAUACCUGCUCGCUGAUGGGACAAAGAGGAACAUCAUUCAUGGAAGCUACUCAACUGUCAACAACUAUCUUGCUGCAAUCUUGUUCAAAUCUACCUGUCAUAUUUGUUAAUGUCUUGGUAAAUUUGAUGAUUUUAUGUGUUUUAUUAACUUUUAUGUUUCCGUGCAACACUUAAUGAAUGUGACUGACUAAUUAACCUCUACACAUCUGGUAUAUGCUUUAAAGUUGCCAUU